Harmonia axyridis is the source of this 1487-nucleotide long non-coding RNA. RefSeq lists it as uncharacterized. The record is from RefSeq and is a predicted model, not a curated record. The transcript is spliced from 3 exons. NCBI's taxonomy places the organism in Eukaryota, Metazoa, Arthropoda, Insecta, Coleoptera, Coccinellidae.
AUAAUUUUAGCGACUAGAACUGAGCAUUGCCGCUAUAUCUUUUUCUUACAUAGAACUUGCCUUGCUCCAUUGGUAAAUAAAGAAAAACAAUCAAAAAGGAAUCUUUCAUUCAUCAAAUUAUUUUUACGUUGGUAGGCAAUCAGAUCGUAAUUCUGCAAACUCAUUGUAAAUUCUAUGUUACUAAUCCGCUUUUUAGACAUAGAUAAUAUCUCAAAACAUAUUUUAGCCAUUUGUAAAUAAUAAUCAAAAUUCAAACUUCAAUUUGAGAAUGAUAAGCAUUGAUUCCUUCAUAAUUUUCAAUAAAUCAAUCUAAGAUGAGGUUUGUCUAUCCAAGAAACUUCAAACUGGUGUCGAUAUACAUAUCGAUGUACAUGUCGAUGUACAUAGUUAUGUCAUCAAUAAGAGACUCAAGUAUUAUUAUCUUGCAAAGAUUCCCUAAUUCUUGGCAUUAUAAAAUCAGGUUUAACUAAAAUUAUUUGUUAAAUCAAUUUUUUAUUGAUAUAAUAAUUACAAAUUGUUGAAGAAAUUGAACAGAAUUUCAAUAUUUUAUGAAUAUUAUAAUGAAGCUAUCGUUAGAAAUCGUUAAAAAUCAAACUAGUAUAAGUAACUCAUUAUGUAUAAAAUCAUCUUGAUGUUUCAAUGUUUGUUGUUGAUUAUUUUUGAAAUUUUCUUUUUCUUUUUCCCUUCAAUCUCUUGAAAGCAGACAACGCGUAUUACAGACCUCUACAAAAUUUACACGUAGGAAAAUUCAAAAUGUUAUAGAUAGUAAUUAUAAUUUAAUAUUGUGUGAGUUAUAAUUUCUCUCAGACAGAAAACUUAAUAUUCUUGAUUUUAUGAGCACUUUCUACAAAAGCUCAUUGACAUGACUGAGAUUUUAUGUAACAAAAUAAUAAUACAUCUACUCAUUUUGUAGGUCUGUAAUUAAAAGAUUAAUGACUGCACAUGUUUAUUAUAUUUUGUAAAAAUUAAUAUAUAGGUAGUAGAACAGAACAUGUCAAUUACUAAUGUUGUCAUUUUGAAAGAUCUCUUGAAUUUUAAGCUUCUUCUAUAUUUAAAGUGUCUGAAAAUGGUUGUGAUGAAAUGUUUUAAUAAUUGAUGUUGGCAUUUCUCAUUGUACCUUCAUUUUUUCUCACGAGAAAUUUCAAUGCAUUAUAUUCCUAGUGGCAAUAAUAUGCAGUUGGAUAAGACCUUGCUAUUUUCUGGUAGUAUAUUCCAAAUAUAUGUAUAUUUAUCCAGCAUACUAUGUUGCGUCCAUACAUUGUCUUUGGGCCAUAGACUGUUGCGUCCUGAAUAAUACUGCAUAUAAUUUUCGAUUCAAGAUUUUCCACAGCGAGCGAAGGAAGCACAACAUCGUACAUCGUCGACUUUGAAAAGGAGAAGCCACUUCAGCGAGUCAAGGUGUCCACCAGGUCUCUUUUGAUACAAGCACGAAAGCGGUACAAAAGAUCAGCAAGGAUCCUCAAGAGAAUCAAUUUUCAAUGAACAGG